UACAAAGUGUAUCCUUUCUUGUUGUAUCCUUUUUGGGGCAGUGUUUUUUGUUCUUCCUAGAAAUGUUUUGUCACUUUCCCACUCAUGGAUUCAGAAUAAGCAAUAGUUUUUUAUAAUUUUAUUCAAAUGAGUUAUUUUUAAAAUUAUCAACAUUGAUUGGACAAAUCAUUUAUGUGGUGUUUUUUUUUGUUUUUUGGGAAGUUUUUUUGUUUGUUUUUUUGUUGUUUUGGGUUUUUUUUGUUGUUUUUGUUUUUUUGGUUUUUUUGCUUUGUUGCUGAAUUUUCUAUGCCGUUCUUGAGGUUAUGUAAUUUUUCCAGGGAAAGUUAGUGAAUCAGGUCAACAUAUUUACUUGGAGAAUGUAUGCAUUUGCUUUAACGCAGAAAUUAGUCUUGUUUCUUAUAUUUAUGUAUUUCCUAAACCUAAUUCAGUAACAUGCCUUCUGUUUUAUGAUGUAUCUGGUUUAGGUGUUCUAUAUAAUGUGUUGUAAAUUUUGUUUGGGGAAAGGAUUUUUUUCAUUUAAAAAAGUACACAUAAUGAAAAUUAAAAUAACUGGAUUUCCUUGUCAGUUCCAAAUAAGAGGAGCAGGUUUUAAUCUUGAUCUCACAUCUCAGGUUUUAAUAUUGAUAUGUCUUUUGACAUAGAUAGCAAGCAGAAGUAUCUUUUUUCCUCUUUCUUUUUCUAAACAAAACAAAAGGAAUAAGAAAAGAGGAACAGAGAGGAGAAGACAUAAUGUUGACUCAGGGUAGCACAUUAAGUGAAAAGAAACAAUACUGGUAGGUAUACAUAAUAACAAUGGUUUCCAGACUAGUUGAUGACCGGUAUUACCCAAAACAGUGGUUUUUAAUCCUGGCCACAUUUUGGAAUCACCUGAGAAACUUCAAAAAUACUGAUAAAGAAAAAAGAAAAAAAACCCUGAAAAAUAACACUAUUGCUUAGGUUUCUCUCCGUUUUGAUUUAAUUGGUCUGGCGUACAACAUGGAUACUGGAAUUUUUCAACCCUCCUAAUGUGUGACCAAGGUUGAGAACCACUGAGGAAGGAUUUUUACAUAUAAAGAUUCCUGGGCUUUCUCCUAAAACCAAUAAAUCAGAAUUUCUGUGAAUGAGACCAAGAAUCUAAUUCGAAAAGGUUCCUUCAGUAGUUACAAGGGCUGACCAGUUUAGAUACUACUUAGAUUAAAAUAGUUAGAUGCCUAGCCAUCCAACCUUCUGCAAGUAGGAAAAUCAAGAAUUAGAGCCUCUACAUUUCUUGCAAAUUCUAUUACUAGUACUAUGAAAAUAAUUCAAAAUUCUGUUAAUAAAUUAUCACUCUAAGAGUACGAAA
RNAcentral lists this long non-coding RNA (1321 nucleotides) under Lynx pardinus (Iberian lynx). Lineage: Eukaryota; Metazoa; Chordata; Mammalia; Carnivora; Felidae. The record is from RNAcentral.